This 443-nucleotide ribosomal RNA is filed under the name uncultured bacterium. RNAcentral describes it as "partial 16S ribosomal RNA". It matches the Rfam family "Bacterial small subunit ribosomal RNA", at positions 338 to 795 of the family's 1533-position model. The record is from RNAcentral.
UCUACGGGAGGCAGCAGUGGGGAAUAUUGGGCAAUGGGCGCAAGCCUGACCCAGCAACGCCGCGUGAAGGAAGAAGGCUUUCGGGUUGUAAACUUCUUUUCUCAGGGACGAAGAAAGUGACGGUACCUGCGGAAUAAGCCACGGCUCACUACGUGCCAGCAGCCGCGGUAAUACGUAGGUGGCACGCGUUAUCCGGAUUUACUGGGUGUAAAGGGCGUGUAGGCGGGAAAGAAAGUCAGAUGUGAAAACCAUGGGCUAAACCUGUGGCCUGCAUUUGAAACUGUUUUUCUUGAGUACUGGAGAGGCAGACGGAAUUCGUAGUGUAGCGGUGAAAUGCGUAGAUAUUAGGAGGAACACCAGUGGCGAAGGCGGUCUGUUGGACAGCAACUGACGCUGAGGCGCGAAAGCGUGGGGAGCAAACAGGAUUAGAUACCCCAGUAGUC